GUAACCAUAGAGCUCACUCGGCUAGCGCGGCACGAACCCAUGAGCCACGUGACCGAUGUGCCGCGAGCCUGCCGGCGAGCGCGCACGGAGCGCCCCUUAGGAGGCGAGUGUUUCCCUCCAAGGCCACUGUCGCGCUUCUGCCACGGGGUUCCCCCUUUCCCCCAGCACCAUUGAGGGGUUUAAUUUCUCCAGACCACCUGAUGAUCCACUAUAGCAGCAGGAGUUUGGAAGUUUGGAAUGUUUCAUUACUGAAUGAGAGCCAAGACCAUGAUGUUCACCCAUCCCCUGACUGAACAGAAGAGACCGUAGAUCAGAGAAGAGGAAGUGCUCAGAAUGAUGGAUUACCGAAGCCAACCAUUCGCUGUACCUCAUGGAUUUCCUGGAGCAGUUCCUCAUUCUUCAGCUCUAACUGUAUAGAAAAGAAGAGGCUCAAACAGGGACACAUUAACAAGUCUUAAAGCACCUAAGAUACAUCUUCCUAGAAUACUCUGGGCCUUGAAAGAGGAUUCAACCAACUAAUCCCACUUAGAGACUGUAAAGGAAAUAGAAAUAGCCUCUUUGUGAUCGUACCAAAUAUUUUCCUACUGCUGAUAUCAGAAGUGAUAUCACAUGCCAGCAAGAUGAUAGCAGCUGACAGCAGAAGCCUCAGUCACCUUUAAUUAAGUAUCUUGUUUUCAAAUAUAAUUCACACCUGAAAAAGGGCAAGUACGUCUCACCAUAGGAAUAUUCAGAACCCUCUGAUGAGAAAAAUAGAUGUCUUCCUUUUUAAUUGACAUCAGACCAUGAUCUGACCUCUGCAUCCUGCUUUUUUCCCCCAAACUAGAAGGGAUGAGAAAAAUACAAACCUUCAAUGCGUAUUUGUAAGACUGCUCUGCCUCCAACUGCCUUCCUCCCUGAAAAACACCAGUAGUCAGUGAGAAGCUUGUUUGACAGGACAAAAUCAGGUGUUUCAGCUACUGUCAAGAGACACAUUUUAACAAGGCUGGGUGACAGGAAUACCUCAGCUGUGCAAUAUUCAGUUGGAGAAAGGGUAAUGAGAAACAAAGGGGAAGAUUGUUUCUUUUGGCAUUAAAAUGCUUCCACAUUUUGUUUUUCCAGAAAACAAACCCCAAACCUAUCUAUAUUUACCAAUGGAAUCUAUGAGGCACCUUGUAGACAUAUAGACAGAUGUUGAUGUAGAUAAAGCAGAACAUGUUUCCUCACAUUUGAUCUUGAGAUAGGACACUCACUUGCAUGCAGACUAGCGCUAGAUAUGCCCACACUUCGGCAUUGUUGUUAUUCAGCGCAUUGGCCUCAGAGAGGGCAUCUUCUGCCUCCGCCAUUUCUUUCAGCUUUACAGAGAGAGAGAGAGAGAGAGAUGAGAGCAAAAACCGAACAGCAGGUGAAAUAUUGCCCAGAGUUUAACACGCACCUGGUAUACAACAGCUAAAGAAAUCAGUGUGACAAAAACCUUCAGAAACGAUCCUCACUCUAGGCUCCUUUGAAUUAUACAGUAAUAAUGACACAGUGUAACAAAUUUAGAGCAGAGGGAGUGAGACAACUGCAAUGUCAGACUCUCCAGCUCUCCUGACUGGAGGGCAAGCCCCUCAUUUACUGAUUUAGCCAGCCAGUAAUGGAGCCCAGUCCUCUUACAAAUUACCCAUGGACUAUUCUCAC
This is a long non-coding RNA of Chelonia mydas (Green sea turtle), 1656 nucleotides long. RefSeq lists it as uncharacterized. The transcript is spliced from 2 exons. The record is from RefSeq and is a predicted model, not a curated record. NCBI's taxonomy places the organism in Eukaryota, Metazoa, Chordata, Testudines, Cheloniidae.